GGAUGGACCCGCGUCUGAUUAGCUUGUUGGCGGGGUAACGGCCCACCAAGGCGACGAUCAGUAGCCGACCUGAGAGGGUGAUCGGCCACAUUGGAACUGAGACACGGCCCAGACUCCUACGGGAGGCAGCAGUAGGGAAUUUUCGUCAAUGGGCGCAAGCCUGAACGAGCAAUGCCGCGUGGGUGAAGAAGGUCUUCGGAUCGUAAAGCUCUGUUGCGAGGGAAAAAGGAAGAGAAGAGGGAAUGAUUCUCUUUUGAUGGUACCUCGCCAGAAAGUCACGGCUAACUACGUGCCAGCAGCCGCGGUAAUACGUAGGUGGCGAGCGUUAUCCGGAAUGAUUGGGCGUAAAGGGUGCGCAGGCGGCAUAUCAAGUCUGAAGUGAAAGGUACGGGCUCAACCUGUACAGGCUUUGGAAACUGGUAUGCUCGAGGACAGGAGAGGGCGGUGGAACUCCACGUGUAGCGGUAAAAUGCGUAGAGAUGUGGAAGAACACCAGUGGCGAAGGCGGCCGCCUGGCCUGUAACUGACGCUCAGGCACGAAAGCGUGGGGAGCAAAUAGGAUUAGAUACCCUAGUAGUCCACGCCCUAAACGAUGAGGAGCAGGUGUCGGGGGUAGUACCUCGGUGCCGAAGCUAACGCAAUGACUCCUCCGCCUGGGGAGUAUGCACGCAAGUGUGAAACUCAAAGGAAUUGACGGGGGCCCGCACAAGCGGUGGAGUAUGUGGUUUAAUUCGAAGCAACGCGAAGAACCUUACCAGGCCUUGACAUCCCGAGCAAAGACAUAGAGAUAUGUUAGAGGUUAUCUCGGUGACAGGUGGUGCAUGGUUGUCGUCAGCUCGUGUCGUGAGAUGUUCAGUUAAGUCUGGCAACGAGCGCAACCCUCGUGAUGUGUUACUACCAUUCAGUUGAGGACUCACAUCAGACUGCCGGUGACAAACCGGAGGAAGGCGGGGAUGACGUCAAAUCAUCAUGCCCCUUAUGGCCUGGGCUACACACGUACUACAAUGGCAUCUACAGACGGAAGCGAACCUGUGAAGGUAAGCCAAUCCGAGAAAAGAUGUCCCAGUUCGGAUUGAAGUCUGCAACUCGACUUCAUGAAGUUGGAAUCGCUAGUAAUCGCGGAUCAGCAUGCCGCGGUGAAUACGUUCCCGGGCCUUGCACUCACCGCCCGUCAA
RNAcentral lists this ribosomal RNA (1175 nucleotides) under uncultured bacterium. RNAcentral describes it as "bacterial SSU rRNA". It matches the Rfam family "Bacterial small subunit ribosomal RNA", at positions 223 to 1400 of the family's 1533-position model. The record is from RNAcentral.